UAGGGAAUCUUCGGCAAUGGACGAAAGUCUGACCGAGCAACGCCGCGUGAGUGAAGAAGGUUUUCGGAUCGUAAAACUCUGUUGUUAGAGAAGAACAAGGACGUUAGUAACUGAACGUCCCCUGACGGUAUCUAACCAGAAAGCCACGGCUAACUACGUGCCAGCAGCCGCGGUAAUACGUAGGUGGCAAGCGUUGUCCGGAUUUAUUGGGCGUAAAGCGAGCGCAGGCGGUUUCUUAAGUCUGAUGUGAAAGCCCCCGGCUCAACCGGGGAGGGUCAUUGGAAACUGGGAGACUUGAGUGCAGAAGAGGAGAGUGGAAUUCCAUGUGUAGCGGUGAAAUGCGUAGAUAUAUGGAGGAACACAAGUGGCGAAGGCGGCUCUCAGGUCUGUAACUGACGCUGAGGCUCGAAAGCGUGGGGAGCAAACAGG
Molecule: ribosomal RNA, 429 nt
Filed under: Gemmatimonadota bacterium
Lineage: Bacteria; Pseudomonadati; Gemmatimonadota
Description: Gemmatimonadetes bacterium partial 16S ribosomal RNA
Rfam family: Bacterial small subunit ribosomal RNA
Source: RNAcentral